RNAcentral lists this ribosomal RNA (404 nucleotides) under uncultured bacterium. Its description in RNAcentral is "bacterial SSU rRNA". It matches the Rfam family "Bacterial small subunit ribosomal RNA", at positions 355 to 776 of the family's 1533-position model. The record is from RNAcentral.
UAACGAAUCUUCCGCAAUGCACGAAAGUGUGACGGAGCGACGCCGCGUGGAGGACGAAGUCCUUCGGGAUGUAAACUCCUGUCAGGGGAAAGAAAGUUCUGAUCUACCCCAGAGGAAGAGGCGGCUAACUCUGUGCCAGCAGCCGCGGUAAUACAGAGGCCUCGAGCGUUAGGCGGAAUCACUGGGCUUAAAGCGUGUGUAGGCGGACGACUAAGUGCUUUGUGAAAUCCCACGGCUCAACCGUGGAAUGGCUUGGCAUACUGGUCGUCUUGGGCGGUCUAGGGGCGAGCGGAACAGACGGUGGAGCGGUGAAAUGCGUAGAUAUCGUCUGGAACGCCUAUGGUGAAAACAGCUCGCUGGGGACCUGCCGACGCUGAGACACGAAAGCCAGGGGAGCGAACGGG